CUAGAAAUUUCUGUUGACCUGAACAGACAUACAAGGGAAUGAUGAAAAGUACCUACCUCGCCAUUAUUUUUCUUCUGUGUUUUCUUCUUUGGAAGAGGUGAAGACCUGGGAAGAGAUACAUGAGGCAGAAUUGAAGGCACUCGACUUGCUUCUUCUCAUUUUCCCUGAAGGCUAGAAUCCUACUAUGAAUGUCAUAAAGAUCAGUCAGGAGACUUUUGGAAUAUGAUGGAAGGUACAUGUCUCUCAUCCUUCCUGCUCUCCUCUUCCCUUUGGAGGGUGGAGAUCAGGUAGGAGAUAGGUAAACUAUAAUACAAACCAACUACCUCUCCUUGAGGAACCAGAUCUUGAAGACUUGGCAGGAGAUUCAUGAAGAAGAGCAUGUGAAGUGCAGAACAUGAUGGAAUUCAUACACCAUUCUCUUCUCAGUCCCCUUGGAACUGUGAGACCUAGCAGGAGACCAGGUAGGUAUCUUGAAUUGAACAGUCCCAUGUUACGAGGGAAUGAGGAGGAAACCCGAUCACGUCUGCAUUUCUCUUACCUUGCCAUCCAUACAGAAUUUAGGGUGGAGGGAGGAUCCAGAUGAAUCCCAAUGCAAGACAACUGACUCUCUUUAUCCCUCUUUUCCUCAAGAUCAGAGUACUUGCAGGAGACUAGAGUCUGGAGUCCUGGUAAGAUUUUCCUAAAGAUGAUGCUGGAAAGAACACUUAAGUGAGUGCAGACUCCCUUUUCGUCUCUUUUUACUUCCAUUAUAACCUGGAGAUCUAGCAGGAGAAAAGGGAGUGAAGAUCUCGGAAGAGACAGAAAUAGCAGAAUUGAAGUUACCGGGCUGGCUUCUUACCUCUUUUACUGGAACCUAGCGUUCCGGGAAGAGGUUAAUGAAGGUGACUCAUGGAAUUCAGAGAAGAGACCCAUGGAAUAUUAUGGAAGCUAUCGGCCUCACCUCUUUCCGUCUCUCCUCUUCCCUUUGGAGGUUGGGGAUCAGGUUGGAGCCAGGCAAAGGACAGGAGAAAAUAGCCACUUCUCAUUGUGGAAUAUGAGGCUGGAGACUUGGCAGGACAUUCAUGGAGAUGAGGAUUUGAAGCACCAGACUUGAUAGAAGGCACUCACCUCUUCUACUCUACCUUCCUUUGCAACAUGGACUCCUCCCUGGAGACCAAAUAGGAAACCUUUUUUAACAGACUGUAGACACAAAAGAAUCAGUAUACAGGCUCACCUAUCCAUCCUCUUUGUUCCCAAGCACAAUGUGAAGAUCAGUGAAAAAAUCAAUGGGGCACAGUGGACGGUACCACAUGGUCUUCUACCCACUUUUCCUAGAGAAUGAAGUCCAAGCAGGAGUUUCAUGAUGAUCAGGCAGGAGACUGAUGACAAUCAAAAAAGAGUUCUCUCCUCCUCUUGUUAACAGGCUGUAUAACAGAAGCAAAGCAUAAGAGAAAGCAAUUUCUUCUGGGAGAGCCUUGGCAGGAAGUUCAUUGAGAUGCCAAUGCAGAAGCAAAGGGAAUGAAGAUACCUGCCUCACCUCUUUGCUUCUCAGCUCUUCCCUUUGGAGGUUGGGGAUCAGAAAAGAGCCAGGCAAAGCACAAGAGAAAACAAUCACAUCUCUUUCAUAGUUGGCU
This is a long non-coding RNA of Monodelphis domestica (gray short-tailed opossum), 1613 nucleotides long. Lineage: Eukaryota; Metazoa; Chordata; Mammalia; Didelphimorphia; Didelphidae. The record is from Ensembl.